AAUAAAAAAAUAUUGUUAAGAUAUUCAUGGAAGAAGAGCAAUCCAGCGGGCCUGGAGUUUCUUGAAAAGAGAGCCGAUGUGCCUGACUUUUCGAGGGCCCAAGAUUUUAAAUUGAAUAUUUAUAAGGAGGGAAUUGAGAGAGGUCUAUGGCUUGAGGCAAACAAUACGUUCAUGAGAGUUUGCCAAAAAAUAGACAAUCUGCACAAGC
Molecule: long non-coding RNA, 208 nt
Filed under: Mytilus galloprovincialis (Mediterranean mussel)
Lineage: Eukaryota; Metazoa; Mollusca; Bivalvia; Mytilida; Mytilidae
Source: RNAcentral